GCGUCCUUAUAUUUAAGCGAGAUAUAGCAGUGUUGUCUUCAGUUUUAUGAGGUAAAGCGAAUGAUUAGGGACUCGGGGGCGAUUUUUAGCCUUCAUCCAUUCUCAAACUUUAAAUAUGUAAGAAGCCCUUGUUACUUAGCUGAACGUGGGCAUUCGAAUGUAUCAACACUAGUGGGCCAUUUUUGGUAAGCAGAACUGGCGAUGCGGGAUGAACCGAACGCGGGGUUAAGGUGCCGGAGUGGACGCUCAUCAGACACCACAAAAGGCGUUAGUACAUCUUGACAGCAGGACGGUGGCCAUGGAAGUCGGAAUCCGCUAAGGACUGUGUAACAACUCACCUGCCGAAUGUACUAGCCCUGAAAAUGGAUGGCGCUCAAGCGUCCCACCCAUACCCCGCCCUCAGGGUAGAAACGAUGCCCUGAGGAGUAGGCGGCCGUGGAGGUCAGUGACGAAGCCUAGGGCGUGAGCCCGGGUCGAACGGCCUCUAGUG
This 490-nucleotide non-coding RNA is filed under the name Thermothielavioides terrestris NRRL 8126. Its description in RNAcentral is "Thielavia terrestris NRRL 8126 Eukaryotic large subunit ribosomal RNA". It matches the Rfam family "Eukaryotic large subunit ribosomal RNA", at positions 957 to 1444 of the family's 3401-position model. The record is from Rfam by way of RNAcentral. Lineage: Eukaryota; Fungi; Ascomycota; Sordariomycetes; Sordariales; Chaetomiaceae.